UACAGAGGUCCCAAGCGUUGUUCGGAUUUAUUGGGCGUAAAGGGCGCGUAGGCGGUGCGGUAAGUCACCUGUGAAACCUCUGGGCUUAACUCAGAGCCUGCAGGCGAAACUGCCGUGCUGGAGUGUGGGAGAGGUGCGUGGAAUUCCCGGUGUAGCGGUGAAAUGCGUAGAGAUCGGGAGGAACAUCUGUGGCGAAGGCGACUGCCUGGACCAGCACUGACACUGAGGCACGAAAGCGUGGGGAGCAAACAGG
Molecule: ribosomal RNA, 253 nt
Filed under: uncultured bacterium
Lineage: Bacteria
Description: partial 16S ribosomal RNA
Rfam family: Bacterial small subunit ribosomal RNA
Source: RNAcentral